GCUCUGGUAGUGUAGAGUUUUGACUUGGCUUCAGGUCAUAACAUGCAUUGGUUUAGCAUUAGGGACUGUCACUCCCUCGACUCGGGUUCGAAUCCCGACCAGGGCG
Molecule: transfer RNA, 106 nt
Filed under: Microcaldota archaeon
Lineage: Archaea; Nanobdellati; Microcaldota
Description: tRNA-Asp
Rfam family: tRNA (bases 43-98)
About the family: Transfer RNA (tRNA) molecules are approximately 80 nucleotides in length. Their secondary structure includes four short double-helical elements and three loops (D, anti-codon, and T loops). Further hydrogen bonds mediate the characteristic L-shaped molecular structure. tRNAs have two regions of fundamental functional importance: the anti-codon, which is responsible for specific mRNA codon recognition, and the 3' end, to which the tRNAs corresponding amino acid is attached (by aminoacyl-tRNA synthetases). tRNAs cope with the degeneracy of the genetic code in two manners: having more than one tRNA (with a specific anti-codon) for a particular amino acid; and 'wobble' base-pairing, i.e. permitting non-standard base-pairing at the 3rd anti-codon position.
Source: RNAcentral